Molecule: long non-coding RNA, 725 nt
Filed under: Olea europaea subsp. europaea
Lineage: Eukaryota; Viridiplantae; Streptophyta; Magnoliopsida; Lamiales; Oleaceae
Source: RNAcentral
AGGGCAUUUUAUUUGAGCAUUUAUCAUUUUCGUUUUCAAUUCUAGGAAGUGUCUGGCUUUAAUGGCUAAUUGUAGCCAUAUUUACAAGACACUAGAAAUAUAUUUUAUUUUUUCCGGGAUGUUAAACAUUUGCAAAUAUUUACUACUUCAUCUGCCUUAGUUCAUGUAUUCAGAUUUAUAUCGUCCAAACUUUUGUUCUAAUGUAAUUUUUUUUUUUUUUUUUUUUAAUUUUCUUCUAGGUUAUGAUCAAGUUUAGGACAAAACAAAUAGUUGUUAAUGUAUUAGAUGCUAUUAACAUUUUCGUCAGUAGUACAACGAAUAAUCUGAAAUUCAUCAUAAAUAUUUCUCUGUUUCUACUGAAUCUAUCUUCAUUACUGAAAGAAAUGAAUUAAAGGUUGACAUAGUUAUUGAUGAUGCCCACACCAAACCCAACCCUAAGGUAAUCCCCUCUCCUUAACAUGCACAAAUGUAUAUAUGUGUACACAAGACUUUGCUGGUGGUCAUAGUGCAGUGACCGAUGGGAUGGCGGUGGUUUGGAGUUGGGAUAGAGGUCAAAUUGACGGGUCAAAGGUGGAGCCGAUGAUAUUAGUUAUUGUGGGUUGGCCAAAAGAUAGUCAAGAGCUAAGUCUUCUUCAUAGUAGUUCUGGUCCGCCUAUAGAGGGGAAGCCUUAAGCACUAGCCUAUUCGACGUCGAUGAAGGAGUUGAGGUAGUUCUCUCUCAACGU